UCCAGACUCCUACGGGAGGCAGCAGUGGGGGAUAUUGCACAAUGGGGGGAACCCUGAUGCAGCGACGCCGCGUGGGUGAAGGAGCGUUUCGGCGCGUAAAGCCCUAUCGGCAGGGAAGAAGGAGGACGGUACCUGACUAAGAAGCCCCGGCUAACUACGUGCCAGCAGCCGCGGUAAUACGUAGGGGGCAAGCGUUAUCCGGAUUUACUGGGUGUAAAGGGGGCGCAGACGGCAGCGCAAGCCAGGAGUGAAAGCCCGGGGCCCAACCCCGGGACUGCUCUUGGAACUGCGCGGCUGGAGUGCAGGAGGGGCAGGCGGAAUUCCUGGUGUAGCGGUGAAAUGCGUAGAUAUCAGGAGGAACACCGGUGGCGAGGGCGGCCUGCUGGACUGCGACUGACGUUGAGGCCCGAAAGCGUGGGGAGCAAACAGGAUUAGAUACCCCUGUA
Molecule: ribosomal RNA, 446 nt
Filed under: uncultured bacterium
Lineage: Bacteria
Description: partial 16S ribosomal RNA
Rfam family: Bacterial small subunit ribosomal RNA
Source: RNAcentral